GCCUGGAUAGCUCAGUUGGUUUGAGUGUGGUGCUGAUAAUGUCAAGGUCGCGGGUUCGAUUCCUGUAUGAGAUA
Non-coding RNA from Podarcis lilfordi (Lilford's wall lizard), 74 nucleotides. The record is from the annotation of a GenBank genome assembly. NCBI's taxonomy places the organism in Eukaryota, Metazoa, Chordata, Lepidosauria, Squamata, Lacertidae.